Molecule: long non-coding RNA, 807 nt
Filed under: Gadus morhua (Atlantic cod)
Lineage: Eukaryota; Metazoa; Chordata; Actinopteri; Gadiformes; Gadidae
Description: lncRNA (ENSGMOG00000028815.1)
Source: RNAcentral
UUUUAGAAGGCGGUUUUGUAGUGAUCACGCUGUUGUCAAAGCCACUUAGCGCCUUGUUUUCCACAGUGCAGCGUGCCGCUCAUCUGGAUAUGGUUCACACUAGUACACAGCCUGCGUUUUUCUAUCGCUCAUCUUUGAAGGCGUGAUUAAAACGUCAAAUCCCGUUCCAAUGCCUUCUUGACAGCGAGGUUGAAACUUUUCCCCUAUAAUGGGCUCCGCUAUUGAACAUUGGCUGGUAAUUUAACACUAAUGAACUGUUGUGUGAUCUUUGGGGCACGCAAGUGUAAUUGAUUUUGAAGGCACUGUUUGCGGGCACGUUGUGUUUGUGCACCAACUGGAUGAUCAGACGAUAUGAUGAUAUUUCCCCUCUUUAUACGCGACAUUUUCAUUCUUGCCUAUAGGUGGCGAUGGUGGUCUUUGCACUUGGCCCAGAAAAGCUCAUAUCGCCUAAAUUACGUGACUCUCUACUGAGUGUUGGGACCCCUCUGACUCCAGGGCAGCUCCCCUAUCCGACUUCUGAUGAAGAUGAAUCGCGUGUCGCCGCUUCUAAUGUUCUUAUUUUUUUAUUUACUUUAAACAUGAUUCUCUUACAUUCUGUAUUUUGCUCUCUCUCUCUGUCUGUCUGUCUCUCUUUCUCUCUCUCUCUUCCCGUCUGCUUUUGACCCUAUUGACUGGUAAUUGCUAUAACGACGGCAAAUGGAGGCCAGUUUCUAUGGAGACAAUAAAACUGUCAUGUAGUGAAUAAUAAAUAUUUGCGUGGCAAUUUUGUGCUCCACUGACCCCAAAAGUCAAAGACAGAAAAUAAAC